RNAcentral lists this ribosomal RNA (468 nucleotides) under uncultured bacterium. Its description in RNAcentral is "partial 16S ribosomal RNA". It matches the Rfam family "Bacterial small subunit ribosomal RNA", at positions 28 to 507 of the family's 1533-position model. The record is from RNAcentral.
GACGAACGCUGGCGGCGUGCUUAACACAUGCAAGUCGAACGGAAAGGCCCUGCUUUUGUGGGGUGCUCGAGUGGCGAACGGGUGAGUAACACGUGAGUAACCUGCCCUUGACUUUGGGAUAACUUCAGGAAACUGGGGCUAAUACCGGAUAGGAGCUCCUGCUGCAUGGUGGGGGUUGGAACGUUUCGGCGGUUGGGGAUGGACUCGCGGCUUAUCAGCUUGUUGGUGGGGUAGUGGCUUACCCAGGCUUUGACGGGUAGCCGGCCUGAGAGGGUGACCGGCCACAUUGGGACUGAGAUACGGCCCAGACUCCUACGGGAGGCAGCAGGGGGGAAUAUUGCACAGUGGGAGGAAGCCUGAUGCAGCAACGCCGCGUGCGGGAUGACGGCCUUCGGGUUGUAAACCGCUUUCGCCUGUGACGAAGCGUGAGUGACGGUAAUGGGUAAAGAAGCACCGGCUAACUACGUG